Molecule: unclassified non-coding RNA, 4849 nt
Filed under: Daphnia pulicaria
Lineage: Eukaryota; Metazoa; Arthropoda; Branchiopoda; Diplostraca; Daphniidae
Description: serine/threonine-protein phosphatase 2B catalytic subunit alpha isoform-like, transcript variant X2
Source: RNAcentral
CAAGCCAUCGAGCAGCGAAGCCAGGUUCAGUUGAGCAAGGGACUUCGUUCGGGAAUACAGUCCCGUUCUGCUGGUGUGUAGAAAAGAGUUUUUUUUACGUCCGAGUCGAGUCGAGACUGGUCGUUUGUCGUUAUUUUUUUUCACCUUUUCCCCCGUUCCGUUUUCAUCCGGUGAUAUCAGUGUGUUUGUUGGACCAUCGAGUGGAUGUAGUAGGUGUAUCGUAUUCCCCGGAUUACCUGCCAUGUCAUCCAACAAUCAGAAAAUCUCCACCACGGAGCGUGUGAUUAAAAGUGUGCCGUUCCCGCCGAGUCGCAAAUUGUCUGUGGCCGAAGUGUUUGACACGAAGACGGGCAAACCUCGUCCGGAUGUGCUCAAGCAGCAUUUCAUUUUGGAGGGCCGGAUCGAAGAGGCGGCCGCCCUCCGCAUCAUCAACGAGGGAGCUGCUCUACUCCGCCAGGAGAAGACGAUGAUUGACAUUGAAGCUCCCGUCACAGUUUGUGGCGACAUUCACGGACAGUUUUACGAUCUGAUGAAACUGUUUGAAGUGGGCGGAUCGCCGGCCAAUACCAAGUAUCUCUUCCUGGGCGAUUACGUCGAUCGAGGAUAUUUCAGCAUAGAGUGCGUCCUCUACUUGUGGGCGCUGAAAAUUUGCUACCCGACCACCCUGUACCUGUUGCGGGGCAACCACGAAUGCCGGCAUCUGACGGAGUACUUUACCUUCAAACAAGAAUGUAAAAUCAAGUAUUCGGAGCGUGUCUAUGACGCUUGCAUGGAGGCGUUUGAUUGCCUUCCGCUGGCCGCCCUGAUGAACCAGCAGUUCCUCUGCGUCCAUGGCGGUCUCUCGCCAGAGAUCCAUUCGCUCGAUGACGUGCGAAAGCUGGAUCGGUUCAAGGAGCCACCGGCGUUCGGUCCCAUGUGCGACCUCCUCUGGUCUGACCCCUUGGAAGACUUUGGCAACGAGAAGAAUGCCGAACACUUUUCACACAACUCCGUCAGGGGUUGUUCCUACUUCUACAGCUAUGCAGCCUGUUGUGAAUUCCUUCAACAGAAUAAUCUCCUGUCAAUUAUUCGAGCGCACGAAGCUCAAGAUGCUGGUUACCGAAUGUAUCGGAAAAGUCAGACGACCGGUUUCCCUUCGUUGAUAACCAUAUUUAGCGCUCCUAAUUACUUGGACGUGUAUAAUAACAAGGCGGCCGUGCUUAAGUACGAGAAUAAUGUGAUGAAUAUCCGGCAGUUUAACUGCUCGCCUCACCCUUACUGGCUACCCAAUUUCAUGGACGUCUUCACCUGGUCUCUGCCCUUUGUCGGAGAAAAAGUGACGGAAAUGCUGGUCAACGUCUUGAACAUUUGCUCCGACGACGAACUCGUCUCUGAGGGCGAGGAGAGCAUCGAAGACGGGGAAGCAGCUGCCAUCCGUAAAGAAGUGAUUCGCAACAAAAUUCGAGCUAUCGGCAAAAUGGCCCGCGUCUUCUCCGUCUUGAGGGAAGAGAGCGAAAGUGUGCUCCAACUCAAAGGGCUGACCCCCACAGGAUCCUUACCGCUCGGCGCCCUCUCUGGAGGCAAAGCGACGCUAAGAAACGCUUUGCAGGGAUUCUCUCCCACGCACCAAAUCAGGUCGUUUGAAGAGGCCAAAGGUUUAGACGCCAUCAACGAGCGCAUGCCACCUCGCAAUGACGCUCCGCCGCCGUUACACGCGUCGUCCAAUUCGUCGAGCGUGUCGCCCGUCUCACCGAUUGCGGCGGCGGCGGCCGCCGUCGUGGCCGAGGCCAGUGCCAAUUCGCACGUGCCCAGCGUCAGCGUCAACAACAACAGCAGCGCAGGAGGAGGCGCUGGAGGCGCGGGCAGCAACAAUGUCCACUCCAAGAGUAACUCGCACGUCCCGACCGCAAGUGGAGGUGGUGGUGGUGCUGGCCACGGUCACUCCUGAGCCAGUCGGCAGUGAUUUCGUUUCGUUUUUUCUCUUUCUCUCUCGUUUAUUAUUAUUAUUUGUUUUUACUUCUUCCUUCAAUUUUUGUAAUUCCCGCCACCACCACUCCGCCGCCGCCCGUUCAGCCUCGACUUGACCCGGUCCCACUAGACGGAGGAUUGGAAACAAAAAAAAAGAGAAACAAGUUAUUAAAAAGAAAAUGACAUCACACACAUGUGGGAGAAACACAAAAAUGACGUCGCUCGUUUGAAGAUCCUGCCGCGUUCGGUUCCUCUCAGUUUCAGAUUUUUGUUCAUUUUUUAAUUCUUUUCCCCUUCACACAAUUAUUAUUUUUUUUUUCGUGCGUGUGUGUCGUCCCGUCGGUUUCUCUUUAGCCAACAUCACACUUAUAUAUUCUCUCUCUCUCUCUCUCCUCGUCUUGAAUUUAAAGAAAGAUUUAAAAAAACAAAAAAAUUAAUACUAUUUGCGUGUGCGUGUGUGUGUGUGUGUGUGUGAGCGUUACGAUUUCUUCAUAUAUAUUCCUUCCUAUCCCUCCUGGAAAAAGAAAAAUCUCCUGCAAAUCACUAUUACGCUCUUGAAAUUUUUUAAAAAAUCCCUUUUUGUCUGUCAAACAAAUUUUCUCCCUUUUUCGCUUUCAUUUUUCCUUGGCCCCCUCGUUUUUUUGUUGUUGUUGUGUUUCGUGGGGCGUGUUUUGGGUGAGGACUUGCGCUUUCUCGUUUGUUUGAUUUAUAUAAUUAUUUCGUUUGAUUAUUAUUAUUUUUUUUUGUUCAUUUUGUUGUGUGUUUGCGAUAAUGAUGGAUGCUUUUUGUUUUUCAUCAUCCUACUGGCCUCCCGUCGGCUCUCUCUCUCUCUUUUCUCUCUUACAGAUCUGAAAAGUCAUCGCUCGAUUAUUAUACAAUUAAAAUCCAUGACAAGAAAAAUAUUAUCCAAUUUGUUGAAACAAAAAAAAGAAAACGUGAGCGGAUGCAAAGAGAAAUUUAUUUUGGGAAGGGGGAGAUCAAAUUGUUUGAUUGUGGUUAUUAGCCACUUCCCAACCAAUUUUUUGUAAGGAAAAAUUACCGACUUGUAGCGUUGUUUUAAUCGGAUGACGGAAAUUUGAUUGUGAUUCAAAUGAAUAUAAUCAACAUUUUUGUUUGCUUGUUUUCGAGACAAAAAAUUCAAACAUCAACCCAGUCGAUUUGUUGCUGGACAACUAGUCACUGCACAUGCCACCUAAACUGGAUGGGGGGUGGAGACAUUUUUUAAGGGGGGAGUUGAUAGAGUAUUAUUAAACUUAGUUGUUGUUUUUUCUAAAUUUCAUCUUAUUUAAUGAUUGUGCCGUGUUUGAUUAUUUUCUUGGUUUUUUUUACAAUUAGUGUUAUUAUUUAUUUUUAAAUUGUUUUCAAUUAAUACCAGAUGACUUGGGAGAUGUUGAAUUUCAUGUGUUUCUUCUCUUUUCCUUUACCCAAUUAAUUUCAUUUUUUUUUCUGUGUGUGUUGCCAGUGUCUUGGACGCGUUCAUUUUUCCCUGCUUUAGGUUUGGCAAUUUUGUUUUAGAAUUUUCGGACAGCGGCUAAUCAAAUUCUCUUUCUCUCUCUCCACUUACCGACGAUUUUAAUUUUAAUUAUUUUUGCGAGCUCGUUUUUGCCUUUAUAAUGAUUCGUGUACUUAAUUGUACUAUACAUAGUAUUAGAAUUCUAAUUAAUUACAUGCGUACGCGCAAACCGACAGCAGCAUAAGGAAAACAGGGAAAUCGGAGAAAGGCCACUCGUAUUUUAAAAAGGUAUCAAACGAAUGUAGAUUCUUUGAUUAUUCACUGUAAUCACGAACAGAACUGUUUGGAAGCUUAUCAUCAUCUAUCCCCAAUUUUUAAUCUCAAAAUAGUUUCGAUCGUCAAAUGUUGAGGUGAAAUCAAACCCGUUGUUUUAGAUUUGAAUUUCAAAUUUAAAUCCCAGUCUAUACAGCAAAAAAGUUAGCGGGAAAUUUAAAAAGAGAGCCGUCGGGAUGAUUUUUUUUUUUUUUUUAAUUGAUUAUUAUUUUAUCUCGUCCCACAUCACCACCACAUUUUUCGUCGAUCUUUUCAUUAUUAUUCACUAUAUUUCACUUGAGCCAUUCUAAUUUUUCUUUGGUCAUUUUUGUAAGAUUUAUCUCUGAUACAUAUUUAAGAAAAAAAAAAAAGCUUUUUAAAAAUUGACAAGACAUGAAAAAUCGUGACUAUUUAUUUUUAAUUUUUUUUUUAUUUGUGAUUGUGCGAGUCUUUUUUUUUACAUCUUAUUGAUAUAUUGAUAACUUUAUCUCUCUUUCUCGCCCGCCCUUAUAUAAUACCUGUUGAAUGCGUCGAUUUGUAAUUGAAUUUUUUAACAUUUUUUCAAAAAAUCCCAUUACAUGAAUUCCCCCAUAUAAUUAAGACUCUUUUUUCGAAAAAAAAAAAAUCUUUUCACCAUUUUUCACAUGUUGUGUGUAUGAAAUGUCGCGUCUGAUUUCUUUCUAUCUAUCUAAUUCUCCGGUAUACAACACAGGAAAAAAACAAACAAAUCUGAUUGUGUUUUUAUUAGUUUUUUUGGUUUUGGUUGAAUUUUUCUUUUCGGCAGGGGAUAAUUUUAUGUUUGAGGGGGGAGUGAGAAGAGAAAACCACAAAAAUUGUUAUAACAAAAGAAACAAGACACGAGCCCGUCCGGGAUUUAUCAAGACGAUUGUCCAAUUGGCCCCCUUGAUUAAUUUUUGGCUUUUUUGAAUUUAUUUUUUAAAUAAGAAUAUCCGUUAGAACUAAUUUUAAUCACACACACACACACACACACAUUUCAAGCUCUCUAAUCUCAUUUUUGUAGCCGUUGUUAUCAAUUCUCUCUCUCUCUCCUCUUUAACGUGUACACACCCCAAACUAACUCCCUCUCUCCGACUGUAUCGCAGAUUCUCUAAACAUUCAUCACGCCCUCCAGAAAAC